This 486-nucleotide ribosomal RNA is filed under the name uncultured bacterium. RNAcentral's name for it is "bacterial SSU rRNA". It matches the Rfam family "Bacterial small subunit ribosomal RNA", at positions 30 to 513 of the family's 1533-position model. The record is from RNAcentral.
AUUGAACGCUGGCGGCAGGCUUAACACAUGCAAGUCGAGCGGUAGAGACCUUCGGGUCUUGAGAGCGGCGGACGGGUGAGUAAUACAUAGGAAUCUGCCUGGUAGUGGGGGAUAGCCCGGGGAAACCCGGAUUAAUACCGCAUACGCCCCAUGGGGGAAAGGAGGGGAUCUUCGGACCUUUCGCUAUCAGAUGAGCCUAUGUCGGAUUAGCUAGUUGGUGAGGUAAGGGCUCACCAAGGCGACGAUCCGUAACUGGUCUGAGAGGAUGAUCAGUCACACUAGAACUGAGACACGGUCCAGACUCCUACGGGAGGCAGCAGUGGGGAAUAUUGGACAAUGGGGGAAACCCUGAUCCAGCCAUGCCGCGUGUGCGAUGAAGGCUUUCGGGUUGUAAAGCACUUUCAGUCGGGAGGAAAGGGUGCAGGCUAAUAUCCUGUGCAGUUGACGUUACCGACAGAAGAAGCACCGGCAAACUCCGUGCCAGCA